Long non-coding RNA from Heterocephalus glaber (naked mole-rat), 5541 nucleotides. NCBI's taxonomy places the organism in Eukaryota, Metazoa, Chordata, Mammalia, Rodentia, Bathyergidae. The record is from Ensembl.
UGGGGCAGGGCUGCUUACUGUGGAGCAGCAGGUCCAUGUCUCUGUUACUCAGCAUCUGGGACACAGCCUGGGGGAAGUAGCAGAUGGUGUAACCUGUGAAAAAUGGGGUGCAGCUGGCCAGUGGGUAGAGGCUCUGAUCUCUUUGGGGGCCCAGACCGCUCCUGCUCUUCCUCAGCCCCAAGCCCCCUCACCCACCUCUCUCCCUCUUGCUGGUGGGUGGGUCAGGGUGGGUGUAGGUCAGGGUAGGCCUGGGGGUCUCCAAGCCUGGCCUGCUCUCAGCCCACCUAUGAAGAGCAUUGCCCAGGUCUUCAUGUGGUGGUGGCAGCUGUACAGGUACUUGAGGGCCUGUGCCAGGUGGAUGCUGAACUCUUCCUGGCUGCGGGUCAUCUGGUGGGAAGACAGCCACCUGUCACUGCCUGGGGCUGGGCCUGGAGGGGCCACUGAUCUCCAGCCAUGCCCCACCCCCCAGCCCUCAGAGAAAACAGGGUCCAGCCAGCCUGGCCUCACCACACCCUGACCCUCACCAGGCAGGUCCAGAGGAAGUGGGGCACUGAGGCUGCGCUCCCAGGCCAGGGUGCAGAAGAGGAUGUGCCUCGGCUGCCAGCAUAGCAGGGCAGCACAGUGGUAGAAGGCAAAUUUGGACUGCUGUGGGGACAGCCACAGGAGGGUCACUCACUGCCUAGGGUGAACAUCGGUUCCCCCCUACUCCCCAGCUCAUGUGUGCAUCUGAGGUGGUCUGCCGUGCUGGUGUUCAGGGGAGCACUUUCCCUCCCUGCCCAGAUGCCCGUGUGCAGCUCUGCUUGGGAACAGCAGGCCCCAUGCAAGUUGAGCACGAGGCAGGGAGGGUUCUGAAUUCCAGAAAGUUCAGGGUGUGGCCAAGCCCUACCUGUGCUUGCUAAGAGGAACCAAUAGUGAGCUGAACAGACAGCAGACAGUCUGGCUCACAAGACAGCAGAGUCCUACCUGUGUGUGUGUGUGCCUUGGGAAGGGGCUGUGGUCUGGUGCUGGCCUAGGGAGCCCCUUACUCUGCCACCUGUCUGCUCAGCCCCCCGGGCAAGGUGAAGCCCUGUCAGCCUGCCUCGCCGCCGUGAGUACUGACCAUGACGACGGCUGGGCAUUGGUCCUUCAGGUGCAGAAGCAGGGGCACCAUGCUCUGGCACACCUGGGUUUGAAGGUCACUGAGCUUCCCACCUGCCAUCGUGGCCACCAGGUCCCCGAACAGUGCCAUGGCUGCUGCUCGAAUCUGGUCCUGCUCCUGUAAGGCAGGUCUCAGAGGGGGCCCAUCUCUUGCCUGACUUGGUACCCAGCCCACUGGCUUCUUUCUGCAGGGUCCUUUGGCCAGGCCUGGGUCUCCCAGUGCAGAGCUAAGCCUACCUCUCAGACAAAACUCCAGGGCAAGGCCAGACCUCCCUCUCAGACAAGGUUCCCAGGCCAUCUCCCAGGUCAACCUCAAAGACUUGAAAUCAUUCUCUUUGAUACCCACAGUAUGUAAGUGUCACGAAAGGAGCUUAGGGGAGGGUUUAAUCCCCUCUGUUUCCAGUAAAGAAAAAGUAGUUCCUCUAAAUGAGACCCCAUGUCAGCCAUAAGGGUAAGAGAUUUGUGGGGCAGUUGUAGGAUCUGAGAUUGAGGGUCAGAAAUUGGAUUUGGCAGUGUUCAGCCAUGAGAAGGAGCCGAGCGCCACCUGGUGGACACUCGGUCAACCCGGGUCCGUCUGCCCGAAGUUAAGGUCAGCUGCAGCCCAGAGCUAUGAGGGAGGCACCCCAGCCCGCCCUGUCCCCGGGCCUACGUCGUCAAAGAAAAUGUGGACUUUGAUGGCGACACUGAGGCUCUGGGCGCCUGCACCCUGGAUGCCCAGUUGGUGCAGCACUUCCGACACGGUGUUCAUGAUGCCCACGACCACCAGCUCACUCUUCUGGAAGAAGCCUUCAAGGAAGUGCGGCAGCUGCGCACGGAGCAGGCUUUCCUGCGGGCAGGGGGGCGGUGGGUGGCGGGCCCAGGACCUGCUCCUCUGGCCCCCUUUGCCUGCCCUGCACCCACAUCCCAGACCAACUGCGGUCCUCCUGCCCCACCCUGUGGCCAUGGCUUCAGAGCUGUCGAUCCCGCCCACCUCUACCCACCGGACCAUGUGGCCUUGGACAGGGUUUCCUCUCCUCACCACCGGGGGAUCUUGAGGAGGUAAAGGAGAGAUAUGGAUGCACAGGGCCCUCGGUACUACUUGGAUCCCAGCUCCUUCCUAUUCUCAGGCCUAGAACACCCCUGCCUUCAUCCCAUUUCCAGGCUUGCCCUGGGUCUGGUGGGGUCUGAGUCUGGACCAGGGAAAAGCUGGUCAUGUUGUACGUACUGAAGUCACUAGUUCCUCUCAUAACUGGGAUUUUCUGUGCACUAGGCGGUAGCUUCAGACCUUUUGUGUUGCAAGUGACGGUUAUGUUCCAUUUUUACACUUUUUGCUUUAAACAUUCUUUUUGAAUUUAUUUCCAGCCAGUUCUGUCUGCUCCAUUUGUUUGCACUGCAUUCCUGAAUUCUCAGCUGCAUUGUCAGAAAGUAGGGUGGAUUUUCCUGCCAUUGGCCCCUUGUCAAUGACUUGUGUGCAGAUCAAGGAGGGAGCUAGUGUUCCAGCUAUGGACAGGACCGGCAGAAGGGAAUUCUAGUGGGAAGGGCCAGAAAAGAGGCCAAACAUGCAUAAUAAGAUGAUGGCACCAAGUCCUGGAGAGAAAAGACUGGCCCUGAUCAAGGUCUUGCCUGGGAACAGAAGCAUUGCUACCUGGUCUGAGAGCAAUGCCCUGUGAGACUUGGGGAAGGGAGGCAAUAUCAGGGCUUCCCCAACACAUCAGUGACCACAAUGACCCUCUGUUUCCUGUCCUUGAUGGUCUUCAGGCCCAGUGUUGGAUGAAGGGGCUCGAUGGGGCAGGGUGGGGAAUGCCAUAGCAGGAUAGCAGAAAGAGCACCACCCUAAGCACUAUGGCAGACUCAGCACCCUGAAGGCCCAGGAAGGCCAUCACAGUCCCAUCUGGUCCCUGCUGGAUGGGCACACCAGCUCAUAGGACUCCAGGAGAUUGUAAGUGGGUCACUGCCUGGAAAGAGUAGGAUCUCUGAAGUCAGAGGGUCUAGGCUCAAGUUCCAGGUCCACUCUUCACUGUCUGUAUGACCAUGUAGAAGUCACUUAUCCCCUCUGGGGCUCAGAGUAUGUGUGUGUGGGGGAACAGUUGGCUCACAAGGCUGGAGCAAGGAGGAUCCUUGCUGAGCUUGAGUGUCUGGGGAGGUGUGUUUCUAUUCUGCCCCUCAGGGGCUCCUGCCUUUCAGUCUGCACAUUUGUGUUGAGGGGCAUCUGGCCUGCAUGUUCCAGGGGACUGAGUCAGGGCAGAAUCAGCAAAGUCCCUUGCCUUUUGGGUGAGGAUGGCAGGAAAGGGUCACUCAGUGGCCCAGGGACAGACAACCCAGGAUGGUUGCACAUCUGUGUGGCCAUGGACAGAAAGAGAAGCUGGUGUCAUGGAGUAGAGGCCGUGGAGUGCAGGAGAGGGCAGGAGUCAUGACUUGUUGGCCAUGGCACAGGUUAUAGUGUUGCCUGUGAAAUAAAUUGGUGGAAGGGUCUGAAUAGGGAGUGUCAUGACUGUGUGUGGUGAUCUGUCCAAGACUCUUCCUCUGGCAGCUGGGUGAAUAUGGGCAGGACACUCUGGGUGGCAGCUGCUGACUUCCUGGACUGGGGUGGUUGGUGAUGUUGGGGAGAAUUUCCUAGGGGCUGGGAGGUGAUGUUGGGAAGGAAUCAGGGUGACUUUAGACCUCUGCAUGGCUAGGUAUGCCUGGGGAGUGUGGCAGGUGUGGGUUCUAGAUGGUCAGGAGUGGCCUGGGGAUGUCCCUGUAAUGAGGAUGUGGCCUGAAGGUGUUCCUGUGACAGGGUGUGGCCUGGGAUGUUCCUGUAAUAGAGCAUGGCCUGGGACUGUUCCAUAUGAAGGGCUGUUAGACAUUCAUAGGCUACCAGCUGGUACGUGGGGUGUGGGGAGUUUGGGCCACAUGUGAACACUGUAUGGUAUCAGCACUUGGGGGACCUCUAAAGCCCUAGAAUGAAUGUGAUCCUCAUGGCAAUGAGUUGAGCUGAUGAUGAGGUCUGAGGGUUACCCUACUGUCCCAGGGCUAAGAAACUAGGGAGAUGAGGGAGCUAGUGGAGGAGAGGGUACAAGAAUGGAUAGGUGAUGUGAACCAGGAGCCUGUGCUCGUGGAGAUCAAGGGAGAAGGCUGCCAGGAGGAGAGUGUUGCUGGCUAAUCCAGAUCUGCUGACAGGUCACAUGAAGGGGGACAGAGACUGACCAUUAGACCUGGCAGUGUGAAGUUCCUGGUGAUCUUUAUGAGAACAGGUUGAUUUCCAUCAUCGUAGAGAAAGUCUGACUGAGGCAGGUUUAAGGGAUAUAGGAGCCACAACCCAGCAACAAAAGGGCAAAUAUGCCAAUUCAGAAAGGGACAAAGGGAUUAAACAGGCAAUUUUCCAAAAAAGACCACAAAUAGCUGAGAGGCACAUGGAAAGAUGCUCAGCACCAUCAGUCAUCCGGGAAGUGCAAAUUGAAACUACAACGUGUCACUGCACACCUACUAGGAUGGUCAUAGUCCAAGAAAUGACAAAUAGCAAGUGGUGGUGGGGCUGUAGAGAAGCUGAAAUGCUUGGAUGCUGCUUCUGGGGACAAAAGGGGGCAGCAGCUGUGGAAAUCCACAUCACACUUCCUCAGAAAGCAGAACCCAGUACUUUUACAUAGCCCAGCAACCUCAUAGACAGGUUUGUACCCAAAAUGAUUGAAGGGACUGGAGCAUAUACUGUUGUCCCUUGGUUUCUUCAGGCAUUGGUUUCAGGAUCUCUUUCAGAUAUCAAAAUUUAAGGAUGCUCAUAUCCCUUACAUAAAAUGGCACAGUACACAUAUAUAACAUUCACACAUUCUCCUGUGUGAGACUAUGUAGAAUACCAUAGUACAAUGUCAAUGCUAUGUAAAUAGUUGUUAUACUGUGUUGUUUAAAGAAUAAUUACAGUAAAAAAGUCACAAUACAAAGAUUUUGUUCCUAUUUCUCCAUUUUCUCAUACUAAUUCCAUUCCCUUCUUUCCUUUCCCCCACCCCUCCCACUUCCCCUUCCCCUUUGCCCCCUUUCUUCCUAUUUCACAUUAUCUAUUAUACCUUUUAGUCCUUAUUUACACUUUCAGUUUCUCACACCAGAGAAACUAUUCGGUAUUUACACGUGUGUCCUAUUUAUUUCACUUAAAAGUAUCACCUCAAUAUGCAUCCACUUAGCUAUAAAAAUAGGAACAAAAUCUUUGUAAAUAGGGAGGAAUGGAAGGGUUGAAGGGAGGCCUGGGCAAGGGUGAAAAAUAACCAAGAGAGAUUAUGUAAAGGUGCAAAUUUCCAAUGAUGAAUGUCAUUAUAUUGUAUACCUAAAAUGUACCAAUGAUUAGAAUGAAUAAUCGAUAAUACAAAAUAGGAAGAAAAGGUCCAAAGGGGUAGGGGUAGUGGGAGGGGCAGGGGAAAGGAAAGAAGGGGAAGGAAAAAAGAUGAGAAAUGGAAAAAA